UAACACCUUCACCAGAUGGAAUCAUUUUCUUUAGUAAACAUCCCCAUACUGUGUUUCUCACGAAAGCCACAGAUUCCAACCUGGUUGAUGACUUAUCUCCUCACUGCCCAAGAGUGAUACCUUAUACUCUCGCUCUGCGCGCAAGCGUGGCGGUUGUUCUCGCAAGAGGCGGCUGUAUUAGAGAGUGGUGAUGAUCUUGUCCCGGUCUUGCGGUCUGCCUUCGGGCGCGUGGAUUGGGUGGGUGGUGAUGGAUGUCUGACAGGC
Pseudogymnoascus verrucosus is the source of this 264-nucleotide non-coding RNA. The record is from Rfam. Lineage: Eukaryota; Fungi; Ascomycota; Leotiomycetes; Thelebolales; Thelebolaceae.